Molecule: long non-coding RNA, 9265 nt
Filed under: Nicotiana tabacum (common tobacco)
Lineage: Eukaryota; Viridiplantae; Streptophyta; Magnoliopsida; Solanales; Solanaceae
Description: long non-coding RNA (NTAB_LNC004729)
Source: RNAcentral
ACCUCGAAGUCUCUGAAGAUCGCCUCGCCUCACUGAUAGUAUGGCUGAGCCGAAGAACCUGGAUCUGCACACGAAAAAACAUGUGCAGGAAAGGGCAUGAGUACACCACAGCGGUACCUAGUAAGUACCAAGCCUAACCUCGGUCGAGUAGUGAAGAGGAAGGUCAGUGCCCUACUGGUUAUAUAUAUAUAUAAAAACGAGGUAAAACAGUAUGAAGUGCGACAGUAUAACUAAAGACACUAGCAGUUGAUAAAGAGUAAAAUCACAGACAGAAUAUGCUCAGUACACAGAGAUAGCAAUAGGGGAUCUCUCAAGAUAUCAUCCCGUAGUCCCAAACGUAAAAGUGCAAAGGAUCUCCCAAGAUAUCGUACCGUAGUCUGAAUCAUAAAUGUGUAGGGAAAACUCUCGGAAUACCAAUCCCUAGUCCCAAAGUAAAUAUCCAGAACGGAAAAUCUACCGGGUGAUGUCCUGUAGUCCCAAACAUAAUGUGCGGGGGGAACUAUGGGAAUACCGAUCCGUAGUCCGAAAGUAAACAUGCAGUGGGAGAUCUCCCGUAAUAUCAUCCCGUAGUCCCAAAGUAAACACACAACAAUCCCAAAAAUCUUCUCCGAGCCCACAUCUCGGAAUCAGAUAAAAGUUAUCAAUUUAGAAUACCAUUCACUCACGAGAACACUCGUCCAAAAAUUAUCAGAAUCCGACGCCAAAAUCUCCCUCAAGUUGGGGAACUUUUUCCCAUUUCUCCCAAUUUUUCAUCCUAAAUCCGAAAUUAAAUGAUAAAACUAACAAUAUACUAAUGAAAUACAAAUAGAAAGGGAGAAUUGUUACCCAAUGAUCUUCUCUUCAAAAAUCCCACAGAAUCGCCAUACCCCGAGCUCCAAAUUUGAUUUUUCCAAAUUAUAAACUCAAACCAUCGAAAUUUCAAAUUUCUGCCCAGCGAUUUCCGCAUCUGUUGUCAUCUGAGCGCACAUGCAGUCUCGUACUUGCGGAAAAGGCAUUGCAGGUGCAAAAUUCACUUGACGGACUGGGUCCGCAUCUGCGGCUCCGCAUUUGCGGUCACCCAGCCGCACCUGCGGUUUCUGGAGCCUUGGACUAUUCCCACUUCUGCGAUCACCAAGCCGCUUCUGCGGUGCCGCACCUACGGUCCACCACACGCAGGUGCAGUUAUGAUAGGUUCAGUAACCCUAUAUUUGCCUAAGUCCAAAUUCCAAUACGUUAAGCAUCUGAAACUCACCCCAGGCCCCCGGGACCACAACCAAACAUACCAACCAGUCCUAAAACAUCAUACGAACUUAUUCCAACCCUCAAAUUACAUCAAAUAACGCUAAAACCUCGAAACACCCUCCAAUCCAAACCUAAAGAACUUUAAACUUCAAGCAACCUACAACCGAUGGCGAAACCAACCAAACCAAGUCCGACUAACCCCGAAAUUUUCAUACAAGUCACAUUCAAUACUACGGAUAUGUUCCAACUUUUGGCAUUGUAUUUCGACCCCGAUAUCAAAAUCUCACUAUCGAUCCAAAAACUUCAAAAAUUCAACUUUUGGCAUUUCAAGCCUAAAUAAGUUACGGACCUCCAAAAUACAAUUUGAACAUGCCUCUAAGCCCGAAAUCACUCAACGGAGCUAACAGAAUCGACGAAAUUCUAUUCCGAGGCCGUCUUCGUAUUGCUCCAACUACGAUCCAAAACUUAAGUGUCCCAAAACACUCCGAAACUCAAAAUGAAUCUUCCCGGCAACUCACAAUAGCGGAACAAACACGGGAAAAAAUACUUAAUAGGGGAUUGGGGCAUUAAUUCUUAAAACUACCGGCCGGGUCGUUACAUCCUCCCCCUCUUAAAACAUUCGUUCGUCCACGAACGAGCAUAGAGACAUACGUGAAGUAGUGAAAAGAUGAGGGUAACGGCUGCGCAUAUCCUGUUCGGUCUCCCAGAUCGCCUCCUUGACCGGCUGAUCCCUCCACUGAACCUUCAUUGAUGCAAUGUGUUUUACCUCAACUUUCGAAUCUGCCUGUCCAAUAUCGCCACUGGCUCCUCACCAUAAGAUAGAUCCUUGUCCAACUGGAUUGAACUGAAAUCUAACAUGUGCGAUGGAUCAUCGUGAUACUUUCAGAGUAUCGAAAUAUGAAAUACCAGAUGAACUCCUGCAAAGAUGGAAGAUAAAGCAAAAUCAUAAGCGACCUCCCCAACACGUUGCAAUAUCUCAAACAGACCAAUAAACCUCGGACUCAAUUUCCCCUUCUUCCCAAAUCUCAUAACGCCCUUCAUAGGCGAAACCCGAAGCAAAGCCUGCUUUCCAACCAUAUAGGAAACAUCACGAACCUUUCGGUCCGCAUAACUCUUCUGUCUGGACUGGGCUGUGUGAAGUCUAUCCUGAAUCACCUUAACCUUCUCUAAGGCAUCCUGAACCAAGUCCAUGCCCAAUAAUCUAGCCUCACCCGACUCAAACAAACCCACCGGGGAUCUACACCGCCUACCAUACAAAGCCUCAUACGGUGCCAUCUGAAUGCUAGACUGAUAAAUGUUGUUGUAGGCAAACUCUGCCAGUGGCAAGAACUGAUCCCAAGAACCUCCAAACUCUAUCACAUACGCACGAAGAAUAUCCUCAAGAAUCUGAAUAGUGCGUUUGGACUGUCCGUCCAUCUGGGGGUGAAAUGUUGUGCCCAACUCCACCCGAGUACCCAACUCAUGAUGUACGUCCCUCCAGAAGUGUGAUGUGAUCUGAGUAACUCUGUCCGAAAUGAUGGAAACUGGAAUACCAUGCAAGCGAACAAUCUCCCGAAUAUAAAUAUUCGCCAACCGCUCCGAAGAAUAUAUAGUACACACAUGAAUGAAAUGUGCGAACUUGGUCAGUCGAUCCACAAUUACCCAAAUGGCAUCGAACUUCCUCAAAGUCCGUGGGAGUCCAACUAAGAAGUCUAUGGUGAUCCGCUCCCACUUCCACUCUGGAAUCUCUAUCUGUUGAAGCAACCCACCCGGUCUCUGGUGCUCAUACUUUACCUGCUGACAAUUGAGGCACCGAGCUACAAAUCCAACUAUAUCAUUCUUCAUCUGCCUCUACCAAUAGUACUGUCUCAAGUCCUGGUACAUCUUUGCGGCAUCCCGAUGGAUGGAAUACCACGAACUAUGGGCCUCCUCUAGAAUCAACUCUUGAAGCCCAUCAACAUUGGGUAUACAUACCCGACCCUGCAUCCUCAAUAACCCGUCAUCCCCAAUAGUCACAUCUCUGGCAUCACCAUGUAGAACCUUGUUCUUGAGGAUGAGCAAAUGAGGGUCAUCAUACUAACGCACUCUGAUAUGAUCAAAUAAGGAAGAUCGAGAAAUCACACAAGUUAGAAUCCGACUAGGCUCCGAAAGAUCCAAUCUCACAAACUGGCUAGCUAAGGCCUGGACAUCAAUCACCAUGGGCCUCUCCGCUGCUGGUAGAUAAGCCAAACUCCCCAAACUCUCAGCCCGACAACUCAAGACAUCGGUCACCACAUUGGCCUUGCCUGGGUGAUACAAGAUAGUGAUAUUAUAAUCCUUCCGCAGCUCUAACAACCUCCUAUGGCGCAAAUUAAGGUCAUUCUGCUUGAACAAAUGCUGCAAACUCCGGUGAUCAGUAUAAAUCCCACAAGGAACACCAUACAAAUAAUGACGCCAGAUCUUCAAGGCGUGAACAAUAAUACGUAACUUGAGAUCACGGACAUGAUAAUUCUUCUCAUGUACCUAUAACUGUCGGGAUGCGUAGGCAAUCACCCUACCGUCCUGUAUCAAUACCACUCCAAGGCCAAUCCUCUAAGCAUCAUAGUAGACAGUAUAAGACCCCUAACCUGUAGGCAAUAUCGAUAUUGGGGAUGUAAUCAAAGUUGUCUUGAGCUUUUAUAAGCUCUCCUCGCACUCUUCCGCACACUAUAAUGGAGCACCCUUCUGGGUCACCUAGUCAUAGGUGCUGCAAUAGAUGAAAAUCCCAUAACAAAUUGACUGUAAUCACCCGCCAAGCCAAGAAAACUAUGAAUCUCUAUAGAUGAGGAAUACCAACUCUGCACUUCUCCAACUUUCUUCAGAUCCACCUUGAUACAUUCACUCGAUAUCACAUGACCCAAGAAUGUCACAGAAUCCAACCAAAACUCACAUUUCGAGAACUUUGCGUAUAAUUUCUUUUCUCUCAAAGUCUGAAGCACUGUCCUCAGGUGCUACUCAUGAUCUUCCUGAAUCCAGGAGUAUACCAGAAUAUCAUCAAUAAAGACAAUGACGAAUGAGUCAAGAUAUGGCUGGAACACACUGUGCAUCAAAUGCAUGAAAGUUGUCGGGGCAUUGGUCAGCCCAAAUAAUAUAACAAGGAACUCGUAAUGACCAUACCGAGUCUAGAAGGCAGUCUUCAGGAUAUAUGGAUCCCGAAUCUUCAACUGAUGGUAACAUGAAUGCAAGUCAAUCUUAGAAAAUAGUCGUGCCCCCUGUAACUGGUAAAACAAAUCAUCACUAUGAGGCAAAGGAUAUCGGUUCUUCACUAUAACUUUGUUCAACUGGCGAUAAUCAAUGCACAUACGCAUAGAACCAUCCUUUUUCUUCAUAAACAAGACAUGAGCACCCCAAGGUGAUACACUAGGCCGAAUAAAACCCUUAUAAAGAAAUUCCUAUUAACUGAUCCUUCAACUUCUUCAACUCAGGAGGAGCCAUACGGUAAGGAGGAGUAGAAAUGGGUUGAGUGCCCGAUAACAAAUCAAUGCCGAAAUUGUCACGCCACAGGUGCGACCGGCGCUCAGUCGAGUGAACCCAACUAAGCAAGUCUUAUCAAACGCUUCCUACCUAACUCAAUAUGAAUAAGUAAACCAUGCUUCCAUUUAUUUAGACGAGGAAAGAUAGUACAUUCAACGUUGUUAGUUCAUUUUAUAUCAUAACGUUAAGACGUAGUUAAGUUCCAAGAUUCCAUACAAUUACACUUUAGAGAAGCAAGAGUUAGAAUUACAACAUAGUUUGUAUACCCAUCCAACACCCAUACAUAACCCACACAUAUGUCUACGGAGCCUCUAAAGAUACGAAAGACAAGUAUGACAAUGCCGGCAACAAGUCUCCGGCUAUACCUCAAAAGUGGGAGUCUGCAACAAAAGAUGUACAAUAUAACCCCUUGAAGGUGAAAGGGGCUCACCAAGACAUUGAGAAGAAGGUACUCCGCUAUGCCCGAUCGGCACUAUCCGCAAUGGAGCCACCUACAUUCAUAUAAAAAUGUAGCGCCCCCGGCAAAAGGGACGUUAUUACCAUGGAAUAGUACUAGUAUGUCUAACUAAACACCAUCUAGUUAGAAACAACUUUCAUACCAAACAUAAGGAAAUCACAAGUAUAACUCAAAAGCUUUAAACGAUCACAACAUUAUCAAGGUAAGAGAAUCAUACAAUUUUCACAUUUGUUUCCAUAACCUUUAGUUUGGGGCAUUUCAUACUGUUCAUUGUUGUUCACGAUACCACCGCUAGCUUGAACGGAGUCCGAUCUCGACCCGAUUGGCUAGGUUGCCUCAUUUGAGACAUAUACCUCAAUCACAAGCUCAUUCUCACUUACUGGAAUUCAAUAUCAGCACAAUACCACCAUGUGUAUGACAUGGCGUCCGAUCACUGCUCGAUCGGCUAGGCCGCCUUACCAAGGCGUUUCCCUUUUCCAUCAAUCAUCUCACUUAAAUCUUUGUUUCACAUAUAUUAUUUCAUAGGCAUUUAGGGCCACAACUAUCACGUCAUAUAUUUAGGAUUAGGCGACAUUUCACAUCAUUCCUAAUUUCAAUGUUAGAUUUGUAAUUUAGAGUAAUAUGUGCACACAAGAGCAAAUAACACUGUAAGCAUAGAGGAUACUUCACAUAGAUGGCACAACAUAUGCAUCUUCAAUCUCAAUUUAAGGUCUAAGUAUUUCAUUACAUGAUUCAUAUUCCUUGCCCCUUUUCAAGUUAUCAAGACUAGCACAUGGAUCAUAUCGAGACAUAUCUUUCACGUAUAUAAGGUCGCACCCCAAAUUCAUGUGAAACUACAAUCAAUACAACAAUUCAACUUUAAUCUUACCGUGUUUACACAAACACCGAUGGAGCUCAAUUUCUAAAAGACGGGGUUUUAGCCAUACAUACCUCAACUGAGCUUUCUCUAAUCCUAUAACAUUCCGGAAUGUUUGCACUUCAAUCUAUUUAAGAAAUAUAACACAAUUGAACCCAUAAUCAGGAAAAGAUUAUAAUCUAAGCUCACUUGAGCAUUUUAUCAAGCAUUGAGUGCUCAUUAAGGCCUUAUGGUCCUUUUAUGCAGGAUUACACUUAGCCCAUUCCCCAUGCUUCUCUAUUUAUAAUUUUCCCAUAUCUUCUAAGAACACAUGCAUGCAAUGAAACCACCCUUAUCCCUAUGAAUUUCUAACUAAUGUCCCCUUAUAGCUAUGUAUAAAAUUAAGAGCUGAGGUGAUGAAGUCUUACCUCAUGGGAUGAAGAUUUUGGUGCUCCACUUGAUUAUCUUUAAUGUUUUUAACAAGGAUUUGUGGAGCACAUUUUGAUGAAAGGCACUUCCCCUCUCUUAGACCCUCCCUCUCACUCUAAAAGCACCAGGAAAUAGGCUCAAAAUGAUCUAUUGCACAGAAUAUAACAACAGGGGGUCGGGUUUAAAAUUUAGAAAUUUGGAGCCCCGACUCAGAUCUAUGAUCGCAUAUGCGAUCGCAAAGUUGACAUGUGGCCCGCAUAAUGGACUGCAAAAAUGCUCCCAAAAACCUGAACAAUCUGCCUGGAUAUGCGACGAGAAUGCGGUCCGUAUACCCAUUCUAUGGUAGCAAAAGUUCCAAGGGAAUUAUACGACGACUAUGCGGCCCGCAUAUCGAUUAUGCGAUCGCAUAUUUGGCCGCAUAGGUGAACUCAAAAUUAACCUUCACACUGCCUGACUCUGCGGUGACUAUGAGGUCUGCAUAACUAUUAUGUGACCGCAGAGUUGACCGUAGAAUUGCACUUUUCUGGGACUGAAUCAACUAUAAGGGUAUCAAUACUGACAUCUCUCACAUAAGCUACAUACGCGUCACACCCCUUCUCAACCAUUCGCUGAGCCUUAAGUAAAGAAAUAACUCUACUGGGUGUGUGAUCUAAGGUACCCCUCCACUCUACUCGCGGUAUACGAGGCAUAGCCAGCGUCACGGUUUUGGCGUGACAAUCAGGAAUAACAUAAUGGGGCGACAACUAGUCCAUGGCCAAGAUAACAUAAAAAUCUAUCAUGCUGAGCAAUAAUAAAUCGACUCUUGUCUCAAAGCCACUAAGAGCAAUCAAGCACGACCUAUAAACACGGUCCGGAAAGUGCCAAGCAUAACCUCGGUCGAGUAGUGACGAGGAAGGUCAGGGCCCUACUAGUUAUAUAUAUAUAUAUAAGAGUAAAAAUGAGGUAAAACGGUAUGAAGUGCGACAAUAUAACUAAAGACACUGUCACACCUCCUUUUUACACACCCGAGGGCGUAUAAGGUGAGUUUUUCGAUUUAAGUGACAUUACUCGAAAUGGGAUUAAUUAUUUAUCAGAGUCGCCACAUGGAAUAAUUUAAUUGGUGUUCUAAGUCACCGAUUUAUUUUAAAUCCCAAAUCGAGGAAAUUUCGACUUUCCUUUUGAAGUCUGCGAACCAGAAAUUCUAGAUAAGGAAUUCUGUUAACCCGGGAGAAGAUGUUAGACAUUCUCGGGUUCCGUGGUUCUAGCACUGUCACUUAAACUAUUAAUAAUGGGCUUAAUUAUCUGAUUAAUUACAUGUUUUAACCUGAGGUGCAUUUUUUAACUUAUUAACCGCUUUUAACUAUUUUAAACGCUUUUAGGAAGAUUCAACGUCAUUUAAAACAUGCCUUGAACCACGCCACAUGAAAUGCACCCGCGGUCCACGAUACACUUUAUUUAACGUUGUUGAGAAUUGAAGAUGGGUCACAUGAAAUGCAUACUCGAAUUUAAUAAACAAAAGGAAACCAAUUUAAAUAGCGCGCUUAAAGCAACUACGAGAAUUCAAAUUAAUAACAAGUUUUGCGAGGGCCAUGAGAAAAUUCAAUUAAUGGCACACCUUGAGUUUUAAAGAGUUAACAUUAAUUAAAAUGAGGGCCAUGGGUUAUCUAACUUGCUUAUAGCACACCUCAAGUCUAAAAAGGAAUAGGCAUUUUAGAGGCAAUUGAAACUAAUCAAUAUACGCUUAAAAUAAUCCACAAUUAUUCAAGCUUAUUUAAUACUAAAUUAAUAAAUCAUAUGAGGGCCAUGGAUGAUAUGGUGAAAAUAGAACACCUCAAUUUAAUCAAAAGAAUUACUUUCACUUAAGAUUUUAAAACAUAUUUACGCGACUACUGAAACUGCGCAUAGGCCUUCAUGCGUUUGGACUAGGCCUGCUAUGGGCAAAACCAAGCAGUAGCAAUUAAAUGAGCUACUGGGCUCGAGAAGCAGGCCCAAGCAGCAUAUGGCAAUACCAUUCCCAUUUGCAAAUGACCUCAAGUCCAGACCCAAAGUAAAUCCCUAUUCUCAUGACAAAGAAACGAAAACUAAAUAAUAUGACAACAUUUAAAACUGUAAAGAGACCAUUUGAGCUCAACUAAUUAUCAACGAUGCACAGUAAUUAUAAUGUGAAUAAUAGGCUUGAAAGGCUACAAAACCACAUCACAUGUCUAAGAUAAAUUCUGUUUUUGAAUUCAAUUGAGCUAGUGAUAUGGAGGCAAAAUUGUGCAACAUUCUUAUGUACAUCAGUCCUAAGCUAGUUUCUAACUGAUUGUAUGAAAUUUAAAACCUCAGUUAAAACCUUCUACUAAUAGAAACAGUAGCGAAAACCCAAGAGAUUAACAUGCCAUUACUUUGAAUCUAAAAACUGCAUCAGACUCUUAACAAAAUCAAACAAAAAAAAAGCAGCAGUAAUUCAUCUUAUACUAUAUCCAUAACAUGAGAAGGCUAAUAUAACAUGCUUAAGAUUAAAUUAUUACAAGAAUACUAAAUGAAUGGAGGAACAGGGAAAAUAAAACUCAAUAACAACUUGUAUUCAAUCAUGUUUCACAUUCAAAUUGCAGAUGUACACUUCACAUGUUGUCUAUAGUUUGAAAAAUACCUGAAAAUCAAGAGGAAAACAAAGAGGAUGAAGAGUUAGCAAUAGCAGCAAAUCAACUCAACAACCCAACUUCUUCAGUCCAUACUUAAACCCCAAAAAUUUAUACAAGAUCUCUAGUGCUUUUACCCCAAUAAAAAAAUGAAAACUAGCUGACCGUACUCGAAAUUUUCUUGUGUUUUCUAGUUCUAAAACUCCUAUCAGUGUGUAUUUUUUUAGUUUUAUUUGAUGCAAAGAAAAU